This 329-nucleotide long non-coding RNA is filed under the name Hordeum vulgare. RNAcentral describes it as "long non-coding RNA (HVUL_LNC019311)". The record is from RNAcentral. Lineage: Eukaryota; Viridiplantae; Streptophyta; Magnoliopsida; Poales; Poaceae.
GCAUCUCGUUUUUGGGGACAGGUACUGAGUUGCUGACUGCAAUUCUUGGUUGCAUCCUUAUACGGUAGUAACUAAUAGGUAUAAAUUUCUUCCUCGUCAAAUGCAUUAAUACCUUUGUCUUUGUUCUGUUACACCUAAUAUCAGGGAGACAGUGACUCCGAGGAGGAGGUGGACGAGAUUGAGUCAGAACAAGGGAGCGAUGGUGAAAAAUCAGAAGCUUGGAAGUGGGUAAUAUCAAAUCAGUGCCGAGAAAAUGGUUGUAGUGGAGAAGAAGGAUGGCAUGAUGUUAUCUGAAACUUAGAAAAGUGUGGUGCAGAUAAGAGUUGGUG